Molecule: ribosomal RNA, 172 nt
Filed under: uncultured beta proteobacterium
Lineage: Bacteria; Pseudomonadati; Pseudomonadota; Betaproteobacteria
Description: partial 16S ribosomal RNA
Rfam family: Bacterial small subunit ribosomal RNA
Source: RNAcentral
UUGGACAAUGGGCGCAAGCCUGAUCCAGCAAUGCCGCGUGCAGGAAGAAGGCCUUCGGGUUGUAAACUGCUUUUGUACGGAACGAAACGGUCUGGGUUAAUACCCUGGGCUAAUGACGGUACCGUAAGAAUAAGCACCGGCUAACUACGUGCCAGCAGCCGCGGUAAUACAA